Pipra filicauda (Wire-tailed manakin) is the source of this 493-nucleotide long non-coding RNA. RefSeq lists it as uncharacterized. Lineage: Eukaryota; Metazoa; Chordata; Aves; Passeriformes; Pipridae. The transcript has 3 exons. The record is from RefSeq and is a predicted model, not a curated record.
CGUGCCACCUCGUCGGGGUCGAUCAGCUUGAACUCCCCAUUCGUGCCUUCCCAGGCGAUGCAGUUCAGGUUGGCCCGGUCCGAAAGCAGCUCCAGCAGGAACUGCCACAGCUGGAUCUGUCCGCUGCCUGCAAGGCCGAGCCCCGGAGAGGUUAAAGCUCCCUCCCAGGGCACAAGAUGCAGAAGAUGGUAACAAGGUUAUGUCUCCUUUGCAGCAUCCCUACUCCAUCCUGCCCCUCAGACCCAAGAAGGAGAUGUCUUGGAAGCACUCAGACUUAACCCAGCACAAAUAUUCCCCCCACUGCCACAUCUGCUUGAAACUGGGCUCGUGUCACAGCACAGCCUCUGCUCUAGAGGCAUUGUACCCUGUGCUGAUGUCUCCAUGAUGAGCUGAAGUCAGGGUGCAACACUGAUCUGAACUACACCCCAGAGAGGCACAGAUAAGUAUAGGAGAGGGAGAGAGGAGGACAGAGCAGGACCUGCUGUGGCUUUGA